Long non-coding RNA from Hippopotamus amphibius kiboko, 2115 nucleotides. RefSeq lists it as uncharacterized. The record is from RefSeq and is a predicted model, not a curated record. The transcript has 3 exons. NCBI's taxonomy places the organism in Eukaryota, Metazoa, Chordata, Mammalia, Artiodactyla, Hippopotamidae.
ACUGGUGGGAGGGAGAGGAAAUGGAAUUCCCCUGACUGGUAAGAACGCGAGCCGGCACAUCCCUCUCUUACGCGCCCAAUCAGGAAUGUGCGGUGGGAGGUACUAUGGGUUAAUUACUGGAUACCCUUAGUCUAGGUUGACUCGGGCUUUUGAGGUUUCCGGUGGAGCAGGUGAGCAAUAUUGACUCGCCUGCCGGCCUGGGCGGGUUGACCUGUGGGAGGAGUCGCCCCUCAAAAUGGGAACAGUUAUUUCAAAUAGAACCCGACAGGCCGCUGACCAGCGCUCACACGUGCGGAAGCCUAGUGCUAUUCUGACUCUAAGGCCUAGAGGGCCAACCCUGAGAAGAGAGUGCCCAUUGACCAGUCCCCAGAAUUAGAGCAGCCUAGAAAUCAAGCUCAACUGUGAACUGAUGAGGAUGGAGGAUAGGGAGAUUGGGGAGGGCUGUUUACUUGCCUCUGUAAUUAGCGAUCACCAUCGCUAGGGUUUGGUAUGGCAGAAGGCUUAAUACCUUUUUCCUCUGUUGCUGUGUUUCAGUGCCUAAAGGCAAAAAGUUGCAAAACUCAUUCAAGAAAUAAGAGUUUGGGGUCCGAAAAACUCAAUACUUAUUGAAAUAUCCAGGGGGAGAAAUAUAAGAUUUUUUCUGCCGGUGAAGAGAAUGGAGAGUCUAAUAUAGUAGAAACACAGGAUUAAGGAAUUGGAGUGAAAGAAGAAAUCCAGAAGCCAAGGUACAAGAACAGUAGGAAACAUUGCUACCUACUCAAAGGGAACUCACAAUUUCCAGGAGGUCCAUGAAGAAAAGUCCCAGAGAAGCUAAUUUGUACUACCCUAGUCUAAACAAGCUUUGGUAUGAAAGUAUAAUGGACCAUGUUAAUUCUCUGAAUUAACAGAGCACAGCAGACAGACAAAUUUGAGGUCAGAGUUCUUAAUUGUUUUUGAGUCACAAACCAUGGACUCUUUUCAGAAUUCUGCUUUUAAACGUAUAAAGUAAAAUUCAUAGCAUUACAAAAGAAAAAAAUUUUGAAAUAGAAUCUCAAAAUAUUCAAGAAAAACAAACUUUUGAUAUAGGAAUAUACUGGGUUUAUUAACACAGUAAGAUCUAGUGGUAGAUCUAAUAAAGACCAAAUUUUUGAAAUAAUAACAUAAACUUUCCAGAGUUUGCAACAGUUGUAAUGUGAUAUAAAGGAUCUGUGAUUCCUGUUGGAGAUACAGACAUAGGUGCAGCUGUUUGCUGCUUUUAUUCAUAAUUGAAGGAAAUACUGAUUUUCAGUUGAGAUUAGUAAAAAUAAAGAUGUAAUUUUUUUUCCCAGUCAAUUUCACACACACCCUGAAUUCUAGUCAUGGACUUAAUGUUAAAAAACCUUGGGUGGAAUCAAGUAGGCAUAUUUCUGUUGGUAAGCUUUGAAGGGACUGUGACAUUUUGACAUAGAAAUAUAAUUGAUAUUCAUAAUAAGUGAUUUAUUAAGAAAAAGUUUACCACUAGUAUGCUCUUGUUAAGAACGCAUGGAAGUGUAUAAUACGGUAGGAAAUAAAUUUAUCCCAUUUGUUGGUUUCUUUUUUGGGGGGUGGGGAUGCCUAUAAAGGUACCCUAUGGAAAAUUUAUCUAUCCAGAAUGAUUCAUUUCCCUAGCAUUCUGGAUAACUUAGGUUUUAUUGUAUCACUCUUGUUUAUUACAUGCUUUAUAAAUAAGACGUGGAAGAAUUGUAAAAUGAAAAUAAUAACCAAAGAUGAAGGAAAUUAAAAUACUGUAUUUUUAAAAUUCUUAAUAACAAGUGUUAAUUAUUAUUUGAUGUACUGUGUAGUAGGCCUUUUAAUUGUUUAUCUCAUCAAACCCCGAUUACACAGAUGAAGCAUUCAAGGUCGUACAAUUACUAAGUAGUAGAGCCAGGAUUUAAACCUACGCAGUCUGACCUCAAAGCUCUCACUCUUUUAAAAACUGAGAUAUAGUUGAAAAGCUCUCACUCUUAACUAGUAAGGUGUUUAUUUUUUUUCACCCUUCGACUGUUAGCCAAUUUUAAUUUGCCCACUAGUGUAACAAAUACAUAGUCACUGGCUCAAAAUAUUUUCACCCAGUGUCUAAAAGAAAUUUUUAAAAAAAUUUUUAUCGAGUAUAGUUGA